AUGCUCGCGGCAGCCUGUCAUAUAGCACGUGAAACACCAAGCUGUAAGACGAAACCCGUAACCGCACCGGGGCCCCGACUCCAUGCCUUCCGGUCACCAGGCUCCGCCAGCCGAGGUCUUCCUGGUUACGUAACUAAACCAGGAUCAAAACAAAUGACUCUGUGUGCCACAAAAGAAUCGACGUGCUGUGAUGUUCCCGACAACAAAAACAGAGCAACCUGUUCCCUGCCAGGCGAUCGAGCCAUCCGAAGCGGGAGAGUGCGGACAAGGAGCCCCAAGAGUCCUUGCGUUGGAAGUGUGCGGGAAAGCGGAGGCGCAGAGCGGUGAAGGCACUCACCAGUGGCUGGCCGUGUCACCCCCCCUCCCUCUCUCUCUCGCUCUCUCUUUGUCUCCCUGCUCCGGCUGCUCCCUGGUCCUCACCGUCCCUUGCUUCCAGGCGAAAUGAGCUGCCGCUUCGCUCGAGACCCGGUUUCUAUGGCACUGUGAGCAAGAGGCAGCCAACGAGAGGCUUACUCCGCUGAUGCCGCUGCUCCUGCUGCUGCUGCAAAUGUCUAGGGGCAAGCACUCGAGCGCAGCCCGGAGAGGGGUUGCAGACGCACAUCCUACAUAACCUCGGCUAAUCCCUGCCAAUGGUACAUCGGGGUGCCCUAUAGCUAAACCCCCCGCCGUUCCACCUCCUUCACUGUUUUUCCGUUAUAUCUUUACCAUGCUCACUGACCAUGUGUUGUUUUCAUGUUGGCAACUGUGGGCUGGGGCGGUGGGGGGAGUAAAAAACAAGUGUCACUGAUCUGGUGUUGAGAAUGAAAAGACAGACAAAAGAAGGAUGCGUGCAACAUGAAGUGCAUUAAUAUUAAUAGGACUUCUGCAUGAAUAUCAAACAGAGCUAUGGUCAGCUGGCCCCAUUGAACAUCCAAGGCUGGUGUGCAUGUUUAUUUGAUAAAAUUUUUAUUAAUGGAGGAAAGGGUAGAAUUAAUAUGUUUAAGAAAGAUGAAAGGAAGAGGGGGAGGUGGUCUUCAUAGAGCACCAUUGCUUUGUUCCAAUGCUUAGGUUCAGCCGUUACAGAUGCGCGCGCACGCACACACACACACGCAGAGACACACACAAGAGCGCACUCUGAUCCACAAAACACAUGUCAUUGAUUUAACAAUAGGCUUCCUAGUGAAAAACUGCCUCCAUCUUCACCAUAGUGCAGGGAUCACGCAACCCAUGGGCACACCCCACUCCCAUCCCUCGUGGUCACCCCCUUCACACCGAUCGCAGUGCUACGAGCCCUUCAUAGCUCACUUCCAGCCAGAUUAGAAUCAAUGUAUUCUGCAGCGCACUGGACUGGUGAGAGAUGAUGCUUGAGGAAAGGAACCCCCCCCAGCUCCCUGCUCUGCAUCUCCACUCGGUGUGAGGCAAGGGAGGAUGCACGGCAAAGACAGUUGAGGAAAAAUUACCAUAGACACCUGAAAUUGGUUUACAGCAAUAAAAAAAUAAGCAUCGUCUUUAAGGUGGAUUAU
RNAcentral lists this long non-coding RNA (1502 nucleotides) under Scleropages formosus (Asian bonytongue). RNAcentral's name for it is "lncRNA (ENSSFOG00015025986.1)". The record is from RNAcentral. Lineage: Eukaryota; Metazoa; Chordata; Actinopteri; Osteoglossiformes; Osteoglossidae.